UACCAGCACCCCGAGUGGUCGGGACGUUUAUUGGGCCCAAAGCAUCCGUAGCCGGUUCUACAAGUCUUCCGUUAAAUCCAACUGCUUAACAGGUGGGCUGCGGAAGAUACUAUAGAGCUAGGAGGCGGGAGAGGCAAGCGGUACUCGAUGGGUAGGGGUAAAAUCCGUUGAUCCAUUGAAGACCACCAGUGGCGAAGGCGGCUUGCCAGAACGCGCUCGACGGUGAGGGAUGAAAGCUGGGGGAGCAAACCGG
Molecule: ribosomal RNA, 253 nt
Filed under: uncultured bacterium
Lineage: Bacteria
Description: partial 16S ribosomal RNA
Rfam family: Archaeal small subunit ribosomal RNA
Source: RNAcentral